Molecule: long non-coding RNA, 459 nt
Organism: Leguminivora glycinivorella
Lineage: Eukaryota; Metazoa; Arthropoda; Insecta; Lepidoptera; Tortricidae
Exons: 2
Source: RefSeq, a predicted model, not a curated record
UAGAAGGCGCGAGCGCAGCCCCGCCGCCGCGCUGAGCCGAUCAGUCCGCGCCAGCUAUCAAACGAUACGCACGUACCGUCGCGCACACGGGCCAGCCCGUGUCGUCUCGCGCGCUGUACAAAUUAUAAUUUUAAUUAUUUUCUGGUGGGCGCGGACACCUGCAAAUUUAUUUAGUUUAAAUAUAUUCGGCGACGUAAUCGCGAAAUAACGAGCUCCCGCACCCACGUACUGGGUGCGCCGUUAUUUUUAAAAAAGAAGACCGUUCGGCCGACGUGUCACACCGUCACCAGCAUCCACACACACAACAUCCAGACGGCUGGGUUGGAGCCUGAGUCGUUCGCCCGCCGUCGCCCCUGCUCCUCUUCAGCGCUGGCCCCCACACCUGCUGCGGACCACCAUCGUAACCACCAGCCAGGGCAGUACCGCUCCGCGGUGGCAAAUUUUAGACCCGGGCCUUGA